RNAcentral lists this ribosomal RNA (652 nucleotides) under bacterium SVAL2.9. RNAcentral's name for it is "bacterial SSU rRNA". It matches the Rfam family "Bacterial small subunit ribosomal RNA", at positions 45 to 745 of the family's 1533-position model. The record is from RNAcentral.
AGCCUACACAUGCAGUCGAGCGGCACCUUCGGGUGUAGCGGCGGACGGGUUAGUAACGCGUGGGAAUAUACCCUUCACUACGGAAUAGCCUCGGGAAACUGGGAGUAAUACCGUAUACGCCCUUUUGGGGAAAGAUUUAUCGGUGAAGGAUUAGCCCGCGUCUGAUUAGAUAGUUGGUGGGGUAAUGGCCUACCAAGUCUACGAUCAGUAGCUGGUUUGAGAGGAUGAUCAGCAACACUGGGACUGAGACACGGCCCAGACUCCUACGGGAGGCAGCAGUGGGGAAUCUUAGACAAUGGGCGCAAGCCUGAUCUAGCCAUGCCGCGUGAGUGACGAAGGCCUUAGGGUCGUAAAGCUCUUUCGCCAGAGAUGAUAAUGACAGUAUCUGGUAAAGAAACCCCGGCUAACUCCGUGCCAGCAGCCGCGGUAAUACGGAGGGGGUUAGCGUUGUUCGGAAUUACUGGGCGUAAAGCGCACGUAGGCGGAUUGGAAAGUAUGGGGUGAAAUCCCAGGGCUCAACCCUGGAACUGCCUUGUAAACUCCCAGUCUAGAGUUCGAGAGAGGUGAGUGGAAUUCCAAGUGUAGAGGUGAAAUUCGUAGAUAUUUGGAGGGACACCAGUGGCGAAAGCGGCUCACUGGCUCGAUACUGACG